GAGACAAUGACUUGGCCCAGCAGCUAGCAGUUCUCUGUGGCAGAGAGAUCCCUGGGCCCAUCCGGUCUACUGAGAGUACACAUUCAUCCGCUUCACCUUGGACUCCAGUGUAACCAGGGCAGGCUUCAAUGCAUCCUUUCACAAGAGCUGCGGCGGAUAUUUGCAUGCAGACACGGGAUCAUUACGUCCCCCAAGUAUCCGGAGACCUACCCAUCCAACCUCAACUGUUCUUGGCACGUCCUGGUCCAAAGUGGCCUGACCAUUGCUGUCCAUUUUGAACAGCCUUUCCGAGAUUCUUCUUGCAACCAGGGGGAUUACUUGGUGCUAAGAAAUGGUCCUGAUAUCUAUCCUCCACCCUUCGGACCCUGUGGAGGAAAUGUUCAUUUUUGUGGCAGUCGUGCUUCAUCGACUCUGUUCACCUCGGAUAAUCAAAUGUUUGUUCAGUUUAUUUCUGAUUAGAGUAAUGAAGGGCAAGGAUUUCAGAUCAAAUAUGGGGAAAAGAGUUUACCCUGUGGGGGCAACAUCUACAUCCAUGAAGCUGAUUCUGCUGGGUAUGUGACCUCCCCCAGCCACCCUGAUAAUUAUCCCCCUGCACGCUGAUUGCAUUUGGAUCUUAGCGGUUCCACCGGAAACACGCAUACGGCUGCAAUUUGAAGGUCAAUUCGAUAUUGAAGUAACACCCAACUGUACUUCUAACUACCUCUAGUUGUGGGAUGGAGUGGAUUCAGAUGCACCAAUACUUUCCAAAUUUUGUGGGACAUCUUUGCCCAGCAGUCAGUGGUCCUUAGGAGAGGUUAUGUAUUUGAGAUUUCGAUCUGACAACAGCCCCAAUCAUAUGGGAUUCAAGGUCAAGUAUUCUAUAGCUCAGUGUGGGGGGAAGAGUAACAGGGCAAAGUGGUGUUGUUGAAAGCAUUGGCCAUCUAACGCUUCCAUAUAGAGACAACUUAUUCUGUGAGUGGCAUCUCCAGGGGCUCUCCAGACACUAUCUCACCAACUCUUUCGAAGAUUUUAACCUUCAGAAUUCCUCUGGCUGUGAAAAAGACUUUGUGGAGAUCUGGGACUAUCAUACUUCUGGAAACAUCUUGGGAAGAUACUGUGCAAACACCAUUCCUGACAGCAUAGACACUUCUAGCAAUACUGCCGUGGUCAGGUUUGUCAUAGACGGCUCUCUGACUGCCUCAGGAUUCAGACUGCAAUUUGAAUCCAGCAUGGAAGAGUGUGGUGGGGAUCUCAGGGCUCUGCUGGAACAUCUACUUCUCCCAACUACCCGAACCUAAAUCCUCAUGGCCGGAUCUACGAGUGGAGAAUCACCGCCCCAGAAGGAAGGCAGAUCACCCUAACGUUUAGCAACCUGAGGCUGGCCACGCAUCUGUCCUGCAACAGUGAGCAUGUGAUAGUAUUCAAUGGCAUUAGAAGUAACUCACCCCAGCUAGAGAAACUGUGUAGUAGUGUGAAUGUAAGCAGUGAGAUUAAAUCUUCAGGAAACACAAUGAAAGUCAUUUUUUUCACAGAUGGAUCUAGGCCGUAUGGAGGAUUCACUGCUUCUCAUACCUCCAGUGAAGAUGCAGAUAAAUGUGUGGUGGGUCUCUUCCAAAUACUCCUGAAGGAAACUUUACUUCUCCUGGCUAUGAUGGAGUCAGGAAUUACUCGAGAAACCUAAACUGUGAAUGGACUCUCAGCAAUCCAAAUCAGGGAAAUUCAUCUAUUUAUAUUCAUUUUGAAGAUUUUUACCUAGAAAGUCACCAAGACUGUCAAUUUGAUGUCCUUGAGUUUCGAGUGGGUGA
This 1784-nucleotide long non-coding RNA is filed under the name Homo sapiens (human). RNAcentral's name for it is "non-protein coding lnc-ZNF22-2:2". Lineage: Eukaryota; Metazoa; Chordata; Mammalia; Primates; Hominidae. The record is from RNAcentral.